UAACGCGUGGGGAACCUGCCCUACUACAGGGGGAGUAACAGCUGGAAACGGUUGCUAAUACCGCAUAAGCGCACAGAAUCGCAUGAUUCAGUGUGAAAAGCCCUGGCAGUAUAGGAUGGUCCCGCGUCUGAUUAGCUGGUUGGUGAGGUAACGGCUCACCAAGGCGACGAUCAGUAGCCGGCUUGAGAGAGUGAACGGCCACAUUGGGACUGAGACACGGCCCAA
This 225-nucleotide ribosomal RNA is filed under the name uncultured bacterium. Its description in RNAcentral is "partial 16S ribosomal RNA". It matches the Rfam family "Bacterial small subunit ribosomal RNA", at positions 111 to 334 of the family's 1533-position model. The record is from RNAcentral.